CCUACGUGGGGCAGCAGUGAGGAAUAUUGGUCAAUGGGCGGAAGCCUGAACCAGCCAAGUAGCGUGCGGGAUGAAGGCCCUACGGGUCGUAAACCGCUUUUGCACGGGGAUAACACCCUCCACUUGUGGAGGUCUGCAGGUACCGUGCGAAUAAGGGCCGGCUAACUACGUGCCAGCAGCCGCGGUAAUACGUAGGGGGCAAGCGUUAUCCGGAUUUACUGGGGGGAACGGGAGCGUAGACGGUUAUGUAAGUCUGGAGUGAAAGCCCGGGGCCCAACCCCGGGACUGCUUUGGAAACGGUGUAACUGGAGUACAGGAUGGGCAGGCGGAAUUCCUGGUGUAGCGGUGAAAUGCGUAGAUAUCAGGAGGAACACCGGCGGCGAAGGCGGCCUGCUGGACUGCAACUGACGUUGAGGCUCGAAAGCGUGGGGAGCAAACAGGAUUAGAUACCCGGGUAGUC
RNAcentral lists this ribosomal RNA (460 nucleotides) under uncultured bacterium. RNAcentral describes it as "partial 16S ribosomal RNA". It matches the Rfam family "Bacterial small subunit ribosomal RNA", at positions 338 to 795 of the family's 1533-position model. The record is from RNAcentral.